RNAcentral lists this ribosomal RNA (438 nucleotides) under uncultured bacterium. RNAcentral's name for it is "partial 16S ribosomal RNA". It matches the Rfam family "Bacterial small subunit ribosomal RNA", at positions 338 to 795 of the family's 1533-position model. The record is from RNAcentral.
CCUACGGGAGGCAGCAGUGGGGAAUAUUGCACAAUGGGCGAAAGCCUGAUGCAGCAACGCCGCGUGAGCGAUGAAGGCCUUCGGGUCGUAAAGCUCUGUCCUCAAGGAAGAUAAUGACGGUACUUGAGGAGGAAGCCCCGGCUAACUACGUGCCAGCAGCCGCGGUAAUAGGUGGGGGGUAAGGGUAUCCGGGAUUACUGGGGGUAAAGGGGGCGUAGGUGGUUUCUUUAGUCAGAGGUGAAAGGCCGCGGCUCAACCGGAGUAAGCCUUUGAAACUGGGGAACUUGAGUGCAGGAGAGGAGAGUGGAAUUCCUGGUGUAGCGGUGAAAUGCGUAGAUAUUAGGAGGAACACCAGUUGCGAAGGCGGCUCUCUGGACUGUAACUGACACUGAGGCACGAAAGCGUGGGGAGCAAACAGGAUUAGAUACCCCAGUAGUC